GGCACAAUGACCCAGUGGUUAGAGCAGCGGACUCGCGGUCCUAGGAUUCGCGGUUUCAAUUCUGAGAUCGAAUGUUGUGAGUGUUUAUUGAGCAAAAACAUCUAAAGUUCCAUGAAGCUCCGGCAGGGGUUGGUGGUGAUCCCUGCUGUACUCUUUCACCACAACUUUCUCUCACUCUUUCUUCCUGUU
Molecule: long non-coding RNA, 189 nt
Organism: Octopus sinensis (East Asian common octopus)
Lineage: Eukaryota; Metazoa; Mollusca; Cephalopoda; Octopoda; Octopodidae
Exons: 3
Source: RefSeq, a predicted model, not a curated record